ACGGGAGGCAGCAGUGAGGAAUAUUGGUCAAUGGACGAGAGUCUGAACCAGCCAAGUAGCGUGCAGGAUGACGGCCCUAUGGGUUGUAAACUGCUUUUGUACGGGAAUAAAGUGACCUACGUGUAGGUUUUUGCAUGUACCGUAAGAAUAAGGACCGGCUAAUUCCGUGCCAGCAGCCGCGGUAAUACGGAAGGUCCGGGCGUUAUCCGGAUUUAUUGGGUUUAAAGGGUGCGCAGGCGGCACGUUAAGUCAGCGGUGAAAUGCAGGGGCUCAACCCCGGCACUGCCGUUGAAACUGGCGAGCUCGAGUACGGAUGAAGUCGGCGGAAUGUGAUGUGUAGCGGUGAAAUGCUUAGAUAUGUCACAGAACACCGAUUGCGAAGGCAGCUGACUAAUCCGCAACUGACGCUCAGGCACGAAAGCGUGGGGAUCGAACAGGAUUAGAUACCCUGGUA
Molecule: ribosomal RNA, 454 nt
Filed under: uncultured Prevotella sp.
Lineage: Bacteria; Pseudomonadati; Bacteroidota; Bacteroidia; Bacteroidales; Prevotellaceae
Description: partial 16S ribosomal RNA
Rfam family: Bacterial small subunit ribosomal RNA
Source: RNAcentral